Molecule: ribosomal RNA, 253 nt
Filed under: uncultured bacterium
Lineage: Bacteria
Description: partial 16S ribosomal RNA
Rfam family: Bacterial small subunit ribosomal RNA
Source: RNAcentral
UACGUAGGGUGCAAGCGUUGUCCGGAAUUAUUGGGCGUAAAGAGCUCGUAGGCGGUUUGUCGCGUCGAAUGUGAAAACCCAGGGCUCAACCCCGGGCCUGCAGUCGAUACGGGCAGACUAGAGUGCGGUAGGGGAGACUGGAAUUCCUGGUGUAGCGGUGAAAUGCGCAGAUAUCAGGAGGAACACCGGUGGCGAAGGCGGGUCUCUGGGCCGUAACUGACGCUGAGGAGCGAAAGCGUGGGGAGCGAACAGG